This is a long non-coding RNA of Epinephelus fuscoguttatus (brown-marbled grouper), 1279 nucleotides long. RefSeq lists it as uncharacterized. Lineage: Eukaryota; Metazoa; Chordata; Actinopteri; Perciformes; Serranidae. The transcript is spliced from 4 exons. The record is from RefSeq and is a predicted model, not a curated record.
UCACUUUUACUUGUUCUCAACUGAAACAAUUAGAGCAGGAGACAUAUUUAUGACAGCUCUGAGAACCAACUUGAAGUAAGAAUGUUUCUGAGUCAGAUACAGGAAUCAUUUGAACAUGUUGUCCAUUGUAUCUGCCUCCAGUCAUUGUUGAACUGAAAUGAUGUUACUGCUGGCCAACUUCUCAGUUAUAACACUGAACUCAUUCUUCAGGUUGAAGGACAACCUCUUGCCAGUGACUCCUCUGAGACUGAGAUGUCCAGAACUACAGAACAGAUUCCCCAGGGAUCUCCAUGCUCCCAGAUGCAGGGCUCAGAUUACCCAGAACCCCAACCUCUGAAGAAAAAUAUUCAAAUGACUAUUUCCCUUGUAAACUACACGGAUUCUGAUGAAUCUCAGAGUCAAGUCUCAUUUAAUGAGGUGUAAGAGAACGAGACAACAAUUCCAGAUGUGAGCCACAUGGAUGCAGCACCAAAGCAGGACACCAUGACACCUCCACAAGCCCAUUGUAGCCAAUCACCAAAAAAAGACAGAGGUCGUCGGCCUUUAAAGAGAAGGAUGUGGGACAAAGAGGAGAUCCGUGCUGUCGAGGCGCACAUGAUGUCCUUCAUCACUUCAUGUCGUGUUCCUGGGAAAAGGGACUGUGAUAAGUGCCUUGAACUCGAAAAUAUAGCUCUCAAAAACAGAUUGGUUAGCUAUAAAGUUCUACAUUAAGAAUCGAAUCACAGCUCUCAAGAACAAAGUUUAAAAUGAUCAUUUAAUGUCAGCAACAUGUUCAAUUGUUUCCUUCAUACAUUGCUUUGUUUGCAAUGCAACGACAUUUGGAUACUGUUCAGUGUUCUGCUAGAUGAAUUAUUGUUGUGCAACAAUAGGUAUGGGUGUAAAUCACCAGCUUCAUGACAAUACAAUAUAUCGAUUUGUUUGGAUGACAAUAUGAUGUUUGCCGAUUUCACAAAGUCUGUCACGAUACGAUUUCGUUUCGAUACGAUUCAGCAGCCUGCGAUCGAUAUGACGCGAUAUUAUAUUAUUUGACCAUUUUAUUUCUGAGCUCUGUUUGUUGUUUGAGCGGAGGCGCGCUUGCCCAGAAAUGGUGCAAGAUGUGCUAUGUGAAUUUCAAAAUAAAGGUGUAUCUUUAAGAUGACGAUAUGGAUCAAUGUUUUCAUUUUGCGUCGAUGUAAUCGGAUCAUUAAAGGCGCUGUAUGUAAGAAUGUGGCCAAAAUGGUUACUGCACUCAAAUUCAAAAUACUGCCGUGAGUCGUGUCCGCCCCCCCUCCCCUACAGA